AGCAUAUCAAUAAGCGGAGGAAAAGAAACCAACAGGGAUUGCCCUAGUAACGGCGAGUGAAGCGGCAACAGCUCAAAUUUGAAAUCUGGCCCUCGUGGUCCGAAUUGUAAUUUGUAGAGGAUGCUUUUGGUGUGGUGCCUUCUGAGUUCCCUGGAACGGGACGCCAGAGAGGGUGAGAGCCCCGUACGGUUGGACACCUAUCCUAUAUAUAGCUCCUUCGACGAGUCGAGUAGUUUGGGAAUGCUGCUCUAAAUGGGAGGUAAAUUUCUUCUAAAGCUAAAUACCGGCCAGAGACCGAUAGCGCACAAGUAGAGUGAUCGAAAGAUGAAAAGCACUUUGAAAAGAGGGUUAAAUAGCACGUGAAAUUGUUGAAAGGGAAGCGUUUGCGACCAGACCUUUUCCUGGCGGAUCAUCCGGUGUUCUCACCGGUGCACUUCGCUUGGUUUAGGCCAGCAUCGGUUUUCUUAGGGGGAUAAAGGCCUGGGGCACGUAGCUCUUCCGGGAGUGUUAUAGCCCCUAGCGUAAUGCCCUUACGGGGACCGAGGACCGCGCUUCGGCAAGGAUGCUGGCGUAAUGGUCGUCAACGACCCGUCUUGAAACACGGACCAAGGAGUCGAACAUUUGUGCGAGUGUUUGGGUGUUAAACCCUCACGCGUAAUGAAAGUGAACGGAGGUGAGAGCCCUUCGGGGUGCAUCAUCGACCGAUCCUGAUGUCUUCGGAUGGAUUUGAGUAAGAGCAUAACUGUUCGGACCCGAAAGAUGGUGAACUAUGCGUGGAUAGGGUGAAGCCAGAGGAAACUCUGGUGGAGGCUCGCAGCGGUUCUGACGUGCAAAUCGAUCGUCAAAUCUGCGCAUGGGGGCGAAAGACUUAUCGAACCAUCUAGUAGCUGGUUACCGCCGA
Molecule: ribosomal RNA, 901 nt
Filed under: Hypoxylon hypomiltum
Lineage: Eukaryota; Fungi; Ascomycota; Sordariomycetes; Xylariales; Hypoxylaceae
Description: LSU rRNA
Rfam family: Eukaryotic large subunit ribosomal RNA
Source: RNAcentral